Molecule: ribosomal RNA, 431 nt
Filed under: uncultured bacterium
Lineage: Bacteria
Description: partial 16S ribosomal RNA
Rfam family: Bacterial small subunit ribosomal RNA
Source: RNAcentral
AACGAACGCUGGCGGCAGGCUUAACACAUGCAAGUCGAGCGCCUCGCAAGAGGAGCGGCAGACGGGUGAGUAACGCGUGGGAACGUACCCUUAUCUUCGGAAUAGCUCUGGGAAGCUGGAAGUAAUACCGAAUGUGCCCUUAGGGGGAAAGAUUUAUCGGAUAAGGAUCGGCCCGCGUUGGAUUAGCUAGUUGGUGGGGUAAAGGCCUACCAAGGCGACGAUCCAUAGCUGGUCUGAGAGGAUGAUCAGCCACAUUGGGACUGAGACACGGCCCAAACUCCUACGGGAGGCAGCAGUGGGGAAUAUUGGACAAUGGGCGCAAGCCUGAUCCAGCCAUGCCGCGUGAGUGAUGAAGGCCUUAGGGUUGUAAAGCUCUUUCACCGGAGAAGAUAAUGACGGUAUCCGGAGAAGAAGCCCCGGCUAACUUCGUG